CGGUGGAGUAACCAUUUAUGGAGCUAGCCGUCGAAGGUGGGACAAAUGAUUGGGGUGAAGUCGUAACAAGGUAGCCGUAUCGGAAGGUGCGGCUGGAUCACCUCCUUUCUAAGGA
Molecule: ribosomal RNA, 115 nt
Filed under: Staphylococcus equorum
Lineage: Bacteria; Bacillati; Bacillota; Bacilli; Caryophanales; Staphylococcaceae
Also listed under: 1 other name
Description: partial 16S ribosomal RNA
Rfam family: Bacterial small subunit ribosomal RNA
Source: RNAcentral